CUAAACGUACACGAAGCUGAACCCUAAUCACCUAGAAGAGGAAUCAGUACCAACUACCCACUGCAACUCAUUUCUUCUCUCUUCGCAGUCGCACAGCCACCAGCCCACCACCACCAAUCGAACAGUCCACCGCUAUCGCCACCGUAUCCCACAGCCACAGCAGCUACGGCUUUGACCACUGUAGCCACAGAGAUCGUGAAAGCGCGUACGGACAAGAGGGAUUACAGAAGGAUCAUCCUUCCCAACUCCCUUCAGGUCCUUCUCAUCUCCGAUUCCACGACAAGUGUGCUGCUUCCAUGGACGUUGGAGUAGGUUGCUUCAGCGACCCUGCUGGCCUCGAAGGCUUUGCCCAUUUCCUAGAGCACAUGCUGUUUUAUGCCAAUAAAAAAUAUCCGGUGGAAGAUAGCUACUUCAAGUAUAUCACUGAGGUACAAUUAACACUAAAAAAAAUGUCAUUCCUGGGAGUGUUUAUGAAUUUUGAUAUUGGUACUUCUCUCUGUGAAGUUAUUGAUUGAUUGUUUAGCCCUGCUGCUAUAUGUAUUCUGGUUGAACUCUCCAGUUUUGUUCCUCAUUA
Long non-coding RNA from Arachis stenosperma, 574 nucleotides. RefSeq lists it as uncharacterized. NCBI's taxonomy places the organism in Eukaryota, Viridiplantae, Streptophyta, Magnoliopsida, Fabales, Fabaceae. The record is from RefSeq and is a predicted model, not a curated record. The transcript is spliced from 3 exons.